This 229-nucleotide ribosomal RNA is filed under the name uncultured bacterium. Its description in RNAcentral is "partial 16S ribosomal RNA". It matches the Rfam family "Bacterial small subunit ribosomal RNA", at positions 568 to 796 of the family's 1533-position model. The record is from RNAcentral.
UGCGCAGGUGGGCUUGUAAGUCAGUGGUGAAAUACUGCCGCUUAACGGUAGAACUGCCAUUGAUACUGCGAGUCUUGAAUAUGGUUGAGGUAGGCGGAAUGUGUCGUGUAGCGGUGAAAUGCAUAGAUAUGACACAGAACGCCGAUUGCGAAGGCAGCUUACUAAGCCAUUAUUGACGCUGAGGCACGAAAGCGUGGGGAGCGAACAGGAUUAGAUACCCUGGUAGUCC